Molecule: ribosomal RNA, 433 nt
Filed under: uncultured bacterium
Lineage: Bacteria
Description: partial 16S ribosomal RNA
Rfam family: Bacterial small subunit ribosomal RNA
Source: RNAcentral
AACGAACGCUGGCGGCAUGCCUAACACAUGCAAGUCGAACGAGACCUUCGGGUCUAGUGGCGCACGGGUGCGUAACGCGUGGGAACCUGCCUUUAGGUUCGGAAUAACUCAGAGAAAUUUGAGCUAAUACCGGAUGAUGUCUUCGGACCAAAGAUUUAUCGCCUUUAGAUGGGCCCGCGUUGGAUUAGCUAGUUGGUGGGGUAAAGGCCUACCAAGGCGACGAUCCAUAGCUGGUCUGAGAGGAUGAUCAGCCACACUGGGACUGAGACACGGCCCAGACUCCUACGGGAGGCAGCAGUGGGGAAUAUUGGACAAUGGGCGAAAGCCUGAUCCAGCAAUGCCGCGUGAGUGAUGAAGGCCUUAGGGUUGUAAAGCUCUUUUACUCGAGAUGAUAAUGACAGUAUCGGGAGAAUAAGCUCCGGCUAACUCCGUG